Molecule: non-coding RNA, 46 nt
Filed under: Schistosoma haematobium
Lineage: Eukaryota; Metazoa; Platyhelminthes; Trematoda; Strigeidida; Schistosomatidae
Source: RNAcentral
GCACUACUGAGGAGUCCCACAAUAGGACAAAACGGCCGUCCAAUGC